GACAGAGGGUGCAAGCGUUGUUCGGAAUUAUUGGGCGUAAAGGGCGCGUAGGCGGCCCAUCAAGUCGGAUGUGAAAGCCCAGGGCUCAACCUUGGAAGUGCGUCCGAAACUGAUGAGCUAGAGUUCACGGAGAGGGUGGUGGAAUUCCCAGUGUAGAGGUGAAAUUCGUAGAUAUUGGGAGGAACACCGGUGGCGAAGGCGGCCACCUGGACGGAAACUGACGCUGAGGCGCGAAAGCGUGGGUAGCAAACAGG
RNAcentral lists this ribosomal RNA (254 nucleotides) under uncultured bacterium. Its description in RNAcentral is "partial 16S ribosomal RNA". It matches the Rfam family "Bacterial small subunit ribosomal RNA", at positions 524 to 776 of the family's 1533-position model. The record is from RNAcentral.